GCAGGAGUGACGGAAUGGCAUACGUGCCUGCCUCAAAAGCAGGAUUUUGAGGGUUCAACUCCCUUCUCCUGUA
Molecule: transfer RNA, 73 nt
Filed under: Sarcina sp. DSM 11001
Lineage: Bacteria; Bacillati; Bacillota; Clostridia; Eubacteriales; Clostridiaceae
Rfam family: tRNA
About the family: Transfer RNA (tRNA) molecules are approximately 80 nucleotides in length. Their secondary structure includes four short double-helical elements and three loops (D, anti-codon, and T loops).
Source: Rfam by way of RNAcentral